GCAGAGUGUAGAGGAUAAGACGUAAUAACAAAAUAGGUUAAAAAGUUUGAUAAUACAGAUUUAUAUAAAACACAGAAAACAUCAGACAAGAGAAACCAGUCUUUGGAGGACUUUGGGGAAUGCCAUUUGGAUGGUGUCUUAAAAAAAUGAGGAGUUCCCUUCAUGGCUCAGUGGUUAACGAACCUGACUAGCAUCCAUGAGGACGCAGGUUCGAUCCCUGGCCUCGCUCAGUGAGUUAAGGAUCUGGCGUUGCCAUGAGCUGUGGUGUGGGUCACAAUGUGGCUCAGAUCCCAUGUUGCUGUGGCUGUGGUAUAGGCCAGCAGCUGCAAGCUCCGAUUUGACCCCUAGCCUGGGAACUUCCAGAUGUCCGGGGUGCAGCCCUAAAAAGACAAAAGACAAAAAAAAAAAAAAAAUGAGUGGAGGAAAAACUUUUCUAACAGAAGGUCUAGCACCUGUAAAGGAGGUGUAAACAUGCAUAACAUAGUUGAAGAAACUGUGGAAAGUUUGGUUUGGCUGGGACAAAAAGUUAAUAUGCAUGAGUGCCAAGAGAUAAGACUGGAAAAGUAGGCUGGAGCCAGAUGGGAAGGGCCUUUAAUGCCAGUCUAAGGAAUUUGGAUUUGACCCCAUAGUCAGGGCGUGGACCAUUGAAGGUCACUAAGCGGGGGAUGAACGUGAUCUUAAGUUUUAGAGAGAGAACCUUGUUCGUAAUGUACUAGACGGACUGGAGAGAGGCUCGAGGCAGGGAAGAGAGAGGAGGAUGCAAGGAUCUGCGGAGAGGGGAGGAGACAGUGACAACUUCAAGAAAGUCUCAGUGAGGUGGUACGAAGGAGAAGUUGGAAGAGAGAAAUGGUGCAUUUGACUGUUGGCUAGUUACGUGUUGAUGAAGGAGAAGGUGAGAGUCUUCAAUGACAAGAGGUCUCUAGUUUUGGACUUUGGGGAGUGUCGUCCACGAAUACGGGAAUGCAGAGGAGGAGCAGAGGUUUCGUAGGAAAGAUAAGGAGUCCAGGGCAACAAAGUCAGGGAUGCAGAACCUGUCAACAUCCAGGUGUAGGUUGGCCAUAGGCAUUUGCAGGGUGCGUUCUGGGAUUCAGAAAUUGUGGCAAAGAGCAACCACAGAGCAGGAUGAGAUUCCCCUGGGAACAUGGGCAGAGAUGAAGACCAAGAAUAAAGCCUUGAGGGACUGUGAUAUUUAAGGAGAAUCAGAGGAGGUUGAAAGGCAACAAAGAAAAAAAGAGAAAACCAGGAGACAGAAGUUUCAAGAAAACCAAGGGAGAGGAGAAUUUCAAGAAGAUGGGAUGGUCAUUAAAAGCAAAGAUAUUCAGUUCCCUUGUGGUGCAGCAGGUUAAGGACCUGGCAUUGUUACUGCAGCAGCUUGGUUUACUGUUGCGAUGGGCAUUAGAUCCCUGGCCUGGAAACUUCCACAUGCUAUGGGUGCAGCCAAAAAACAAAACAAAACAAAACCUCCUACAAUUCAACAACAAUAAUAAAAAUCACCCAAUUUUUUUUUUUUUAAAAGUGAAAGAUAUCAAUAGUUCAGAGAUGUGAAGUAGGAUGAGGGCUUUCAGUUCGGCUGUUUAGGUUCUGGGAAAGACCAUGUAAAUCUUGGGGAGCAAAUUCUUUCCAAGCUAUUAGCAAAUACACAUAGGUGCUCAUUCUUUAUAGUCUGUGAAUCAUAUAACAUGACCAUUUGCACAGAUUAAAGGAAAAUUGUAAUUUCCUUUAAAGAAAGCAUUGGUAUGAGAAUUUAGGAGAGGGCCUAAGGUCUGAGAAUCAUUUAUAUUGAGAUGAUGUUCAAAACCUCGAGAACAAGUGCAUUUUUGAGGCAGAAAAGAGCAGAAAGUUAAGAUUGGAUGCUAAGGAAAGCCUCAACAUUAUGCUUAGCACAGAAGAAAAAUAAGUGCCUGGUAAAGGGAGUGAAUAAGGCGUAGUCUGGAAAGUUGGAAAACCUCCUACAAUUCAAUAGCAGUAAUAGGACAUCAUAAUAUAGAUUGAUGAUUCAUCCAGUGGAGUUUCCAGAACCUCCUCAAGGUUCUUUGAGGUCUUUUUCUUUUUGGGCCGCACCCACAGCAUAUGGAGGUUUCCAGGCUAGGGGUCAAAUUGAAGCUACAGCUGCUGGCCUACACCACAGCUUACGGCAACGCCGGAUCCUUAAUCCACUGAGCAAGCCAGGGAUCGAACCCACAUCCUCAUGGAUGCUAGUCAGAUUCAUUCCUGCUGAGCCAUGAUGGGAGCUUCUUUCAGGACUUGAAUUUCAAAUUCUGCAGAGAGAUCAAGGAGAUUGAGGUCUAGAAAAAUGUCCAUAAUAUCUCCACAAGAUCCUUGAAGAUCGGAAAGCGAGAGUUUUCUGGAUAGUUCAGGCCCAGAAGCCAAACCAUCUGUCAUUAGGGAAGGAGAGGAUGGAGAUGGAAUGAAGCCAUCUGUGUCUUGUGUCACAACAGCUCCUGAGUGGGCAUAAAAGCCAAAUGGAUGGUGAGGGUGGAAGCAAGGGUGGAGUGCAGACAAGAUUGUCGGGUGUAGAAUGCACUUGGAAGGAGAAGCAAGUAGAAUUUUGGAGCUUUUUAGGGAAAUAAGCAAACAAAAAAAGGAACACUGAGAGAGCCAAUAAGUGAGAAAGAGGAGUUCCUGUCAUGGCGCAGCGGAAACAAAUCCGACUAGAUACCACGGGGUUUCCGGUUCCAUCCCUGGCCUCGCUCAGUGGGUUAAGGAUCUGGCAUUGCCAUGAGCUGUGGUGUAGGUCACAGAUGUGGCUCAGAUCCCACAUGGCUGUGGCUGUGGUGUAGAGUGGCAGUUACAGCUCCAAUUGGACCCCUAGCCUGGGAACCUCCAUAUGCUGCAGGUACAGCCCUAGAAAAGGCAAAAAGCCAAAAAAAAAAAAAAAAAAAAAAGGAAAAAAAAGU
RNAcentral lists this long non-coding RNA (2897 nucleotides) under Sus scrofa (pig). RNAcentral describes it as "lncRNA (ENSSSCG00015045554.1)". Lineage: Eukaryota; Metazoa; Chordata; Mammalia; Artiodactyla; Suidae. The record is from RNAcentral.